GUCGAGGAUCUUCGGCAAUGGGCGCAAGCCUGACCGAGCGACGCCGCGUGCGCGAUGAAGGCCUUCGGGUUGUAAAGCGCUGUCGAGGGGGAGGAAGCUUCGCAAGGAGUUGACUAAUCCCUGGAGGAAGCACGGGCUAAGUUCGUGCCAGCAGCCGCGGUAAGACGAACCGUGCGAACGUUGUUCGGAUUCACUGGGCUUAAAGGGCGCGUAGGCGGGUCUUCAAGUCCGGGGUGAAAUCCUCUCGCUCAACGAGAGAACUGCCCCGGAUACUGGAGGUCUCGAGGGAGGUAGGGGCAUGUGGAACUUCCGGUGGAGCGGUGAAAUGCGUAGAUAUCGGAAGGAACGCCGGUGGCGAAAGCGACGUGCUGGACCUCUUCUGACGCUGAGGCGCGAAAGCCAGGGGAGCAAACGGGAUUAGAUACCCCGGUAGUCC
Molecule: ribosomal RNA, 436 nt
Filed under: uncultured bacterium
Lineage: Bacteria
Description: bacterial SSU rRNA
Rfam family: Bacterial small subunit ribosomal RNA
Source: RNAcentral